UACAGAGGGUGCAAGCGUUAUUCGGAAUUACUGGGCGUAAAGGGCGCGUAGGCGGCCGAGCAAGUCUGAUGUGAAAUCCCUAGGGUCAACUUAGGAACUGCAUUGGAUACUGCUCAGCUUGAGGAUAGGAGAGGAGAGCGGAAUUCCUGGUGUAGAGGUGAAAUUCUUAGAUAUCAGGAGGAACACCGGUGGCGAAGGCGGCUCUCUGGACUAUUACUGACGCUGAGGCGCGAAAGCGUGGGGAGCAAACAGG
This 253-nucleotide ribosomal RNA is filed under the name uncultured bacterium. RNAcentral's name for it is "partial 16S ribosomal RNA". It matches the Rfam family "Bacterial small subunit ribosomal RNA", at positions 524 to 776 of the family's 1533-position model. The record is from RNAcentral.